CUGCUGCCUUCCGUAGGAGUCUGGGCCGUAUCUCAGUCCCAAUGUGGCCGGCCAACCUCUCAGUCCGGCUACUGAUCGUCGCCUUGGUGGGCCGUUACCCCCACCAACUAGCUAAUCAGACGCGAGGCCAUCUUUCGGCGAUAAAUCUUUGACAUUCAGACCAUGCGGCCCAAAUGUAUCAUGCGGUAUUAGCAGUCGUUCCAACUGUUGUCCCCUCCGAAGGCAGGUCCUCACGCGUUACUCA
Molecule: ribosomal RNA, 244 nt
Filed under: uncultured bacterium
Lineage: Bacteria
Description: partial 16S ribosomal RNA
Source: RNAcentral